UCAAGCCCUGCAAGUAGCCUUCAAGUUCUUCACAAGAGAUUGGCCCUCGCUGAUGUAAAACCUGAUGGUAAGUGCAAACAUUAUAACUCAUUCUGUAGGAUGGAGCUGUAUCUUAGAGUCUGACGAGCUUAACCAUUUAUUGCAGUCUGCCGGAAAAUUGCCCCCUACCUUUUAACUGUGCCUCAAUCUCUUUCGUGUGUUUCUCGUGUGAAUGGUUUCUUUAACACCUUGUAGAGACGAGUGAUUUGACACUGUUUUGGAGGUAUAUGUUUUUGGAGAUAUGUGACAGGGCCCUAGGGGGUAUACCCGAGUUUAUUUUUAUUGUUGAAUUGGAUAAAGCGUUCUCUAAGCUUCAAAAUGAUACCAAGAUCGACCUCCUAGCUAUUUUCUAUCGGGAGAUAUGUUCGAGGGAACGCUACGAAGGUAUUGCAACGCCCUCUUGAGUAAAUGACGCUCAAACGUCAUGAAAAUUGAAAUUCAAUUAUUGCCUUCCGGGCACUUCCGUAUACUCAUAAAGCUUCGUAAAAGAUGUUCUGGAGAAGACAAGUUAGUUAGAUGAAGGCUAGGCGUUCUAGGACUCUCUAGCUAGCUAGUAUAGCUAUGUAGCUGGAUUGCUUGGCACCUAGGAAGGAUCUUCGAAGAAAUAAAGAGGCAAAGACUCCCGUCGCUCGAAUGGUUGUUAUGGAGUGUUUUUAUGAGGAUAAAUGGCACGGGAUACGUACAUCUAAAGAAACAAGAGUGGAUCUACGCCAAGCUAGCUAGCUAGAUAGCUGCUCUUUCUAAUCUAUUUCUGUUGCUAAAUUAUGUUUGUUAAGAAGUGGAGCUAUAAUAUACCUGGCUCCUCUUGAUGA
Molecule: long non-coding RNA, 851 nt
Organism: Halichondria panicea
Lineage: Eukaryota; Metazoa; Porifera; Demospongiae; Suberitida; Halichondriidae
Exons: 2
Source: RefSeq, a predicted model, not a curated record